GCUUAUCCGGAGUGACUGAGGGAACAGGCCCUGUGAAGUCCGACAACCUGCUUUGAUGGAAAGUAAGGUGCCAAAUCCUGCGGCUUGACCGAAAGAUGAG
Molecule: non-coding RNA, 100 nt
Filed under: bovine gut metagenome
Description: SAM riboswitch (S box leader)
Rfam family: SAM riboswitch aptamer (S box leader)
About the family: The SAM riboswitch is found upstream of a number of genes which code for proteins involved in methionine or cysteine biosynthesis in Gram-positive bacteria. The SAM riboswitch acts at the level of transcription termination control. The predicted structure consists of a complex stem-loop region followed by a single stem loop terminator region.
Source: RNAcentral